Molecule: long non-coding RNA, 2867 nt
Organism: Prinia subflava (tawny-flanked prinia)
Lineage: Eukaryota; Metazoa; Chordata; Aves; Passeriformes; Cisticolidae
Exons: 3
Source: RefSeq, a predicted model, not a curated record
CUUCAUACAUCAGUAAACUCAAGUGAAAUCAGGGCCAGGUUAUAGCAGGUUCUAUACAAGCACAUAGGAAUGAAUAAUCUUAAUCUAAAAAAGGUUUGAAAAUUAAUGCCAAAUAUGCAAAGAUACGACUUAUCCACAGCUGCUGAGUGUACCUUGUCUGGAGACAGGAGAGGAAUCCAGGCCUUUGAAGACUCAAGACCUGUCCAGUGAGCUCUGCUCCCGAAACAUUGGCUGGUCUGAGUUUUUAUCACAUCUAAGGGCAGGAGCGGGAAUGGCAAGCAGGCUGCACCAGGGCCAAGAAGGUGACUUUGGAAAAAGUUCAAAAUGAGUGAAUAUUCAUUACAGCAAAAGCAGCUCUUGCUGCUUCAGGUGUCCUCAGGAACCCAGAAACUCUUGUUGAAGGUAAACCUGCUUCACUGCUGAACCACAUCUGUCUGGGGCAUCAUCAGAAGAACUCCUGACAAAUCUUUGGGGGAAGGACAAGAUAAUUAAGGAGCUGACUUUGGGAUAUGAGCUGUUAACUUGUGCACGGAGCUCAGGGGAGCAGGAGACUUGUAAAUGUCACCGUCAAACCAGAUAUUUAUUAGUUGGAGCUGGCACACUCCAACUUCCCAGUAAGUGGUGAGAAAAUAUUCCCCGUCACUUGAGACUUUAAAAACUGCAGCAGAUUGAACAUGGCCUGAAAAAAAUGUUCUCUUGAGCUGCAUGUUCUUAUAGCAAGGAGGGGAGGGAUGAGAUGAGCAGUUUUGGUCAUUCCCUCCUGAUUCUGCCCUACUUUCCUGUCACCCCUUCCAAGAGACUACUGGUUGUUUCUACAACCAAAAUUGUUUCCAGGGUGCUAUAGAGUAAGUGGGAAACUUGACUUAUACAGUAAUGAGUACUGGCCAGAGAGCAAAAUAAUGGGAACAUUUAAAAAAAAAAAUAAUAUUGACUUUUCUCUCCUCCUUGCUUACCAGCUGCAGACUGUGCCAUGAGAGAAACCAAUCACAGACUCAUUCCCAAACUGUCCAGAUGAAAAAGACCUGGAGGCUACUUUGCUUAUUGCCAUAACUCUCUGGAAUUGCUUCCUGCCAUAUAUCUGAGUACUAUAUUCAGGCUAAUUUGCCAUAACUUUCCACUAGAAACCUAUUCCAUACCCUGAUAAAUCUCAUCUCCAGCUCUUCCCGCAACUCCUAUCCAGAAGAACUCAGUUCAUGCUUUCAUUUGUCCAUUUUCAUUCUGAAUCAGAGAUGCUGCCUGAAAUAUUUAAAGGCUAAGGACCUCAGCAGGCACUGGAGAAUGCUGUCGAUGCUUUCUCUGUCAUUUUCUUUGCUCUGUGGAGGAUCUAGCAUUGUAAUAAAAAUUCCAGACAGGCAAGAAAAAUGAUCCUUAUUACUGGACAAUCUGCUACCCUUAUCUCCUGCAGAUCAAGACCUUUUUACCUAUAGCUUGGGAAAGUAUUAUUUAAAAAGUCUGAAAGGAGAAGUGCCUUCUUACAUAGUUGGCUCUACCAUGCUGAAUUAAAGAAAUAUCUUUAGAAAAUAUAGAGGACAACUUGACUUUUAAAAUAACCUUUCAGCUAUGCAGAUAUUCUCCUGGGCCAAGAGAAUGUUGAAAUGGUUCAGGCUUCAUUCUGCAGUGCAGAACCCAGCACACACUGGGGUACCCCACUUUCUGUGGGGUCAUUUCAUCACUGAAUGUGAAUUCAUCACUGAAUUUCAUCACUGAAUGGCUGUGGGGUAGUUUGUGUAAGGCUGGUGUGGCUGUGUUUGCACAAUCAUGACCUCAGAGGAGACAGUCCCAGCUGGAGGGCAGCACACCAAAAAUCACAGCACAUCCUCACCAAAAUCAUUCUCCUGGUGCUCAGCAUUCCCAGGGGUUCUAGAUAUCACCAUAUCAUCCCUUUGUGACUCAGAAAUGUUCAUAGCUGAUUCUGUAAAUGCUCAUUUAUCUGUUUCACCUUGUGCAUGACACCUCACUUAGCCCACACUGAAACUAAUGGAAAGUUUUUCUGUCCUUUAGAGGGGAACUGAAUCAAACUUAGCUGGAAGAUAAAAUGAAGUUCAGAUUCAAAGAUACUGAGGAUAAGAGCAUAAAAUUCCUUGGUUAGAAGAUAGUUUGAAAUAUCUUCUUCCAUUGAAGCAGUAAUUUUGUAUUGAAAUAAAAAUAUUUUUCCAUUCUCAUCCAGAUCUUUGAGCUCUUCAUCAGCUUAUUUUCAAAUAAUGUAGCUUUAACGUAGGUACUGAAUCCUGCUUUUACAUCUUUUAGCAAGAAUCAUUGUAAGUGUCACUAAAAUAUAAAGAAAGCCCUAUUUCUCUGAGCUUGUGGUGAUGAAGGUGUGCUGUUUUGGAAAAAAUAGCACUUUUUUUUCUGUGUAUAUUAUCACUUUUGAGCCCCCUCCUGGUUCUCUCUCUUUGUUUCACACUAGGAUGGUAUUAGUAGCCUGAAGCAAUCUCUUUGUGCCCUUUCAAUCAGAAACACUUCUUGAUUUGUGUACUUACAUAGCACAGGCCGAGCCGAAGUGAGAAUUUAUUUCCUGAAGAAAACAGAUUUAAUGUGAAAGGUGAUCCUCAGAAGUUUCACAGCUCCAGUUGCCUUGGAUAAGCACCAAGAGCAGCAGCUGCUGCUCCAAUGAGCCUCCCAUGUGUGUGAGAGCUGCAGACCAUGGGCAGGGUGGGGAGUGCUCUGUGCACAGACCCCUCUCUUCAAGGACAAUGCACUUAUUAGAAGUACAAAAAGAGGAUUAAUGUGAAAAACAUUAAACCCAGGCUUUCAGUUCCUCAUUCUGCAUUGCACUGUGGUUCAGAAAUCUGCCCAGCAGAGCCUUCAGAUCCUGCCCCUCGCUAAUUUAUCCUCCCUCUACCCACCUUUAACUUUGCAAUCCUCUG